This 327-nucleotide long non-coding RNA is filed under the name Androctonus crassicauda. Lineage: Eukaryota; Metazoa; Arthropoda; Arachnida; Scorpiones; Buthidae. The record is from RNAcentral.
GCCAAACAUCCCGCCAUAGGGCUUCCUAUUGGGACCCCUUGGAGUUGCUUGUAGUAGACUCCAUCAUAUUCAAAGUACAUGUUGUGGCAGAUAAUGUAAGCAAUGUCAUGUAACAGCUCAGGGUCACAGCAAUUUUCUUGGGUGUGUUCCAACAGAAACCUAUACAAUAAGAGGCAGGUGGCAUUUCAGCUAAGUGAUGGGUAUAAGGACUCGAAGUCCAGGGUUGUCAUAUGGCUAACCUCAGAAGUGUAUUGUUGCCUCAAUUUUUCCAAAAAUUCCAAGGGGGAGGAGUUAGAAAGGGGGUAAGAUGUCAUAAGGCUUUGACAC